This is a non-coding RNA of Rattus norvegicus (Norway rat), 497 nucleotides long. NCBI's taxonomy places the organism in Eukaryota, Metazoa, Chordata, Mammalia, Rodentia, Muridae. The record is from RefSeq and is a predicted model, not a curated record.
AAAUGCUGCAGUGCUUGAGGAGAAUUAUGACAUGUAGUUGCCUAGGAUACAGACUAAGGAGAACUGCCCAGAUCCUAUGAUAUAAACAAUGCCCACUCAUGACAAAAAAAAAAAAAAAAAAAAAAAAAACCGCCUAAGAUGCAGCUCUGAAGAACUGGUACAAUCAUCAGGUUUUUAUCUAAAGGGCAGACACACAUCUCUGUCUGUGUGACUAACACAAUUCAAGCUCCAGACAUCUGAACAUCAUGAGGAUGGAAGCGGCGGGUCAGAAGAAAAGAGCCUCACAAAGCGUCAGUGUAUUCCAUUAUUAGCAUAGCUAAUGCCCAAGAAUGGUUUGAAACAUUGAGUCCAAAACAACUUAGAAAUUUACUAAUCAUUACUAUUCUUGUUCUCUUUUCUAAGGUCAGGAGGACAAAAGAAUAAACUUGUGAUUAUUUCUGACCUGAGUUUAAAGUUUAUUCUUCAAAUAAACCCUCCCGCAAAAAAAAAAAAAAAAA